CUCUUGGGAUUCUGGUCCUGCUUGGCUUUUUAAGCUGCCCACCCAGGGGUACUGGGUACCCCCUGCUAUUUGGAAGUGGAUUAAGCCUUCCUGAAAGUGAGUAAGUUUAAUAGAUUGUGGGAUGCCUUUGAAGCUGCCUCAUCCAGAACACCCUGCAUCCCAGGUCCUUUUGCUGUACUUUCACCAACUGAUCAUUUUUGCCAAAGCAUCUCAAGGAUAUGCUAAAUCCUGUUCUGGAAUUGAGGUAGUGUUCGGUGCAGUGAUCAGGAUCAAACAUUCCCUGGCUAAUAAUGUAAGAGGUAGCAACCAUGAAUCUUGGUAGCAGGUGAAGGAAAAAAGGGGACCAUUGUGAGGACUGAAACAGCCCUUAAUUCCUGCGCUGCCUGCAGAAGCAACCAGAUCUUGGCAAAGAAAGUGGGAGGUCACCUCUAACUCCAGCACUUCUUUGGGAAGCUAUGCUUUGUAUGGUGUAAAAUAUAAAAGCUGGAUGGAACAGACUGCUCAGAUAAGCACCUUCAAACCAGCAUUGGCGCAUGAAUAAUGAGCAGGGUGGUUUCUAUUCUGCCUGUCCAGUUUCAUCUAUGUGGAAUAGACACACUCCAUUACAACUGAGCAUACAGUCCUGUCUAGCUGCACCAGGCUGCCCAUUGACUCGUCAACUUGAUGUUGCUGUAAAGCAUUUUGAAAUGCAAAAUUUCCUUUGUUUGUUUCACUGUAGUUGCAUGUGCAUCAGGAUUGCAAAAGACCCCUUUUUCCUCUGAAGAAAGAGAACAAGACUAAAUUCUCUGAAAGGCUUACCUCAUUAACUUAAUGGAGUGACACUGGCGACGGUGUUUUUUAUUUCAAAGGGAGCAACAAUUCAGGAGACUUCUAUGGGACCUCACUAUAAUUACAUCAAUACAGAAAUUUCUGAAUGUUCUUCAGACUGCAUGAUGAUGCUGCAAAAGGCUGAAAGCUAAAUGUCAGCUGAUAGACAAAAUAAAUGUAUUUCUGCAGUCACUUGGGUCUAAUUUGUCUGCCCCCUACAAUCCCCUCCAUUUGUAUUAUUUAUAGGCUGUGGAGCACCGGAGUUGCCUGGAGGUUCCAUCAGCCACUUGUCCUGCCCGCCUGGGGAUUCACCUUGGACAGAUGACUGCGUGCUAUCAGCCUGCUGCUGGCAUUCAGAUUUGUAUUUUUUUUUUCUACAGCCAUCAAAAAGAAUAAUGGCACAACUGAAGAGAGGAAUGUUUUGUAAUGGUGUGACAUGGAAACAGAGCUUUAUAAGGGCUCUGCUAUUUUUUUCUACAUGCAUGCUUUGA
Long non-coding RNA from Centrocercus urophasianus (Greater sage-grouse), 1298 nucleotides. RefSeq lists it as uncharacterized. The transcript has 4 exons. The record is from RefSeq and is a predicted model, not a curated record. NCBI's taxonomy places the organism in Eukaryota, Metazoa, Chordata, Aves, Galliformes, Phasianidae.